UGAGGAAUAUUGGUCAAUGGGCGCAAGCCUGAACCAGCCAUCCCGCGUGCAGGAAGACGGCGCUAUGCGUUGUAAACUGCUUUUCCAGGGGGAGAAACUUGCGCACGUGUUGCGCAAUUGACGGUACCCUGGGAAUAAGCAUCGGCUAACUCCGUGCCAGCAGCCGCGGUAAUACGGAGGAUGCAAGCGUUAUCCGGAUUCAUUGGGUUUAAAGGGUGCGUAGGCGGACUAUUAAGUCAGCGGUGAAAUCCUGCAGCUUAACUGCAGAACUGCCAUUGAUACUGAUAGCCUUGAGUUUGGUUAAGGUAGGCGGAAUGUGUAAUGUAGCGGUGAAAUGCUUAGAUAUUACACAGAACACCAAUUGCGUAGGCAGCUUACUGAGCCGACACUGACGCUGAGGCACGAAAGCGUGGG
This 414-nucleotide ribosomal RNA is filed under the name uncultured bacterium. Its description in RNAcentral is "bacterial SSU rRNA". It matches the Rfam family "Bacterial small subunit ribosomal RNA", at positions 355 to 765 of the family's 1533-position model. The record is from RNAcentral.